RNAcentral lists this ribosomal RNA (446 nucleotides) under uncultured bacterium. RNAcentral's name for it is "partial 16S ribosomal RNA". It matches the Rfam family "Bacterial small subunit ribosomal RNA", at positions 338 to 795 of the family's 1533-position model. The record is from RNAcentral.
CCUACGGGGAGCAGCAGUAGGGAAUAUUGCUCAAUGGGGGAAACCCGGAAGCAGCAACGCCGCGUGGAGGAUGAAGGUUUUCGGAUUGUAAACUCCUUUUGUUAGAGAAGAGAAUGACGGUAUCUAACGAAUAAGCACCGGCUAACUCCGUGCCAGCAGCCGCGGUAAUACGGAGGGUGCAAGCGUUACUCGGAAUCACUGGGCGUAAAGAGCGCGUAGGCGGGAUAGCAAGUCAGAUGUGAAAUCCUAUGGCUUAACCAUAGAACUGCAUUUGAAACUGUUAUUCUAGAGUGUGGGAGAGGUAGGUGGAAUUCUUAGUGUAGGGGUAGCAUCCAUAGGGAUCGAGAGGAAUACUCAUUGCGAGGGCGACCUGCUAGAACCUAACUGCCACUGACAUUGAUGCUCGAAAGUGUGGGUAUCAAACAGGAUUAGAUACCCUUGUAGUC